CUGUAGGGGAGGGAGCGAUGUUCUCUCCUACCGUUCCGGUGCCUCUGAAAGUUGUAGCUUCGGUGUACAGUGUUUCUAGAGUCUACAGCAGUGCACAGUAAUGUCCCAGGCCUUCACAUCCACUCACCGUUCACUCACUGACUCACCCAGAGCAACUUCCAGUCCUGCCAGCUCCAUUCAUGGCCAGCGAGUGAUAUAUGCGGUAGGAUAUUCCCUCAUGAUGCUGGGCAGCGAGCCACAGCUCCCAGUCAACUUCCCAAGCCCAAAGACAAAGAAGCUGAGAUUCUUAAGAAAUUGGUUAGAAUUAAAGAACGGCUUUCUAACUCCAGCAUCUACGCUAUGUCUGCUAUAAUACAACUGCC
RNAcentral lists this long non-coding RNA (362 nucleotides) under Equus caballus (horse). Its description in RNAcentral is "lncRNA (ENSECAG00000059681.1)". The record is from RNAcentral. Lineage: Eukaryota; Metazoa; Chordata; Mammalia; Perissodactyla; Equidae.